UACGGGGGGAGCAAGCGUUGUUCGGAUUUACUGGGCGUAAAGGGCGCGUAGGCGGCCAGCACAAGUCAGUUGUGAAAUCUCCGAGCUUAACUCGGAAAGGUCAACUGAUACUGUGCGGCUAGAGUGCGGAAGGGGCAACUGGAAUUCUUGGUGUAGCGGUGAAAUGCGCAGAUAUCAGGAGGAACACCGGUGGCGAAGGCGGGUCUCUGGGCCGAUACUGACGCUGAGGAGCGAAAGCGUGGGGAGCAAACAGG
RNAcentral lists this ribosomal RNA (254 nucleotides) under uncultured bacterium. Its description in RNAcentral is "partial 16S ribosomal RNA". It matches the Rfam family "Bacterial small subunit ribosomal RNA", at positions 524 to 776 of the family's 1533-position model. The record is from RNAcentral.